Molecule: ribosomal RNA, 387 nt
Filed under: uncultured bacterium
Lineage: Bacteria
Description: bacterial SSU rRNA
Rfam family: Archaeal small subunit ribosomal RNA
Source: RNAcentral
GCGCGAAAACUUUACAAUGCUGGCAAUAGCGAUAAGGGAACCUCGAGUGCCAGGUUACAAAUCUGGCUGUCGAGAUGCCUAAAAAGCAUUUCAUAGCAAGGGCCGGGCAAGACCGGUGCCAGCCGCCGCGGUAACACCGGCGGCUCGAGUGGUAACCGUUAUUAUUGGGUCUAAAGGGUCUGUAGCCGGCCGGAUAAGUCUCUUGAGAAAUCUGGCAGCUUAACUGUCAGACUUUCAGGAGAUACUGUCUGGCUCGAGGCCGGGAGAGGUGAGAGGUACUUCAGGGGUAGGGGUGAAAUCUUGUAAUCCUUGAAGGACCACCAGUGGCGAAGGCGUCUCACCAGAACGGACCUGACGGCAAGGGACGAAAGCUAGGGGCACGAACCG